CCUACGGGAGGCAGCAGUGAGGAAUAUUGGUCAAUGGGCGGGAGCCUGAACCAGCCAAGCCGCGUGAGGGAAGAAGGUACAGCGUAUCGUAAACCUCUUUUGUCAGGGAACAAAGGCGGGGACUAGUCCCCGGAUGAGGAUACCUGAAGAAAAAGCAUCGGCUAACUCCGGGCCAGCAGCCGCGGUAAUACGGAGGAUGCGAGCGUUAUCCGGAUUUAUUGGGUUUAAAGGGUGCGUAGGCGGCCGGUUAAGUCAGCGGUAAAAGGCCGGGGCUAAACCCCGGCGAGCCGUUGAAACUGGCGGGGUUGAGUGGGCGAGAAGUACGCGGAAUGCGCGGUGUAGCGGUGAAAUGCAUAGAUAUCGCGCAGAACCCCGAUUGCGAAGGCAGCGUACCGGCUCCAAACUGACGCUGAGGCACGAAAGCGUGGGUAUCGAACAGGAUUAGAUACCCUUGUAGUC
This 459-nucleotide ribosomal RNA is filed under the name uncultured bacterium. RNAcentral describes it as "partial 16S ribosomal RNA". It matches the Rfam family "Bacterial small subunit ribosomal RNA", at positions 338 to 795 of the family's 1533-position model. The record is from RNAcentral.